AAUGAAGACAUUAGUGCUUUCAGAGGUAUCAUGGACAUAUACACAAGUGGACACUCACACAAAUUCCUAUCUCAUGGAAAUGAUGGUGAAGAAAGAAGAGAUAAUGUGCAUGAUUAUCUGUUGUGGAAACACCUAACUAUCUGACUCAUUGUAUGAGUGAAGUGACCACAGACUCUGAACUAUGUGAACCCUUUAGAAUC
RNA transcript from Cyanistes caeruleus (blue tit), 200 nucleotides. RefSeq lists it as uncharacterized. The record is from RefSeq and is a predicted model, not a curated record. NCBI's taxonomy places the organism in Eukaryota, Metazoa, Chordata, Aves, Passeriformes, Paridae.